GGCAGCACGAAAGCUCCAGCGAUGUAGAGCGCAGGACAGGUGGAGAAGGAGGUGGAGGCUGAUCGGGGAGAAGCAUGAAGAAUAGACCCGGUGUCUAAGCUGACAGACGGGGAGAGCAUCUCAUCUUCCCUCGCUCUUUAGGGGCCGAAUGGAAGCGGAGGGAGGCAGCGGGGCUGAGGACAUGAUGGAGGAGAAGAAGCAGUUUCUUUGAGGGGUGGUGGAAGGUUUCUAUGGGAGGCCUUGGUCUAUGGAUCAGAGGAAAGUUCUCUUUCAAUGGAUGCAACGCUGGGGUUUGAACACCUACCUGUACGGUCCAAAAGAUGACCUGAAACACAGAUUGUUGUGGAGAGAAGUCUACUCUCCUGAAGAGGAGGAGUGAUGCUGGUCUCAUCUUGUCCUGUUGAACUGAAGCUUCCUGUGUUUGGAGGAGCUGAGACAGAAGAAGAGAAGAAAGAAAAUGUAUUAACAAACGACUGUCUGUAAAAAGUGUAAAUGUUUCCUCUGGCUGUUAAAGAUGCUCCAUUUUGCAUCCCUACAUGAACAAAAACUUAUGCUGUAUACAAGAAAACUAACAAGUGAAUGCAUUGUUUGCAUUCUUAACAAUUAUGUUUCUUUAUCCAGGAUUCACAUUUUAUAGUCUAAUCCAUUCAAUUAUAUUUGACAACAGAGAUGUAAUCAACAAUAAAUAAAAAAUCACAGGGUCGGACUGAAAAGCAGACAGUGACUUGUUAAGGUGAAACAGUGUAUAGAAAUAAAGUGAAAUA
Molecule: long non-coding RNA, 764 nt
Organism: Thunnus maccoyii (southern bluefin tuna)
Lineage: Eukaryota; Metazoa; Chordata; Actinopteri; Scombriformes; Scombridae
Exons: 4
Source: RefSeq, a predicted model, not a curated record